This 499-nucleotide ribosomal RNA is filed under the name uncultured bacterium. Its description in RNAcentral is "partial 16S ribosomal RNA". It matches the Rfam family "Bacterial small subunit ribosomal RNA", at positions 28 to 507 of the family's 1533-position model. The record is from RNAcentral.
GACGAACGCUGGCGGCGUGCCUAAUACAUGCCAGUCGAGCGAAGUUUUUCUGGUGCUUGCACUAGAAAAACUUAGCGGCGAACGGGUGAGUAACACGUAAAGAACCUGCCUCAUAGACUGGGACAACUAUUGGAAACGAUAGCUAAUACCGGAUAACAGCAUUAACUGCAUGGUUGAUGUUUGAAAGUUGGUUUUGCUAACACUAUGAGAUGGCUUUGCGGUGCAUUAGCUAGUUGGUGGGGUAAAGGCCUACCAAGGCGACGAUGCAUAGCCGACCUGAGAGGGUGAUCGGCCACACUGGGGCUGAGACACGGCCCAGACUCCUACGGGAGGCAGCAGUAGGGAAUCUUCCGCAAUGGGCGAAAGCCUGACGGAGCAACGCCGCGUGAGUGAAGAAGGAUUUCGGUUCGUAAAGCUCUGUUGUUAGGGAAGAAUGAUUAUGUAGUAACUAUACAUAGUAGAGACGGUACCUAACCAGAAAGCCACGGCUAACUACGUG